Molecule: non-coding RNA, 2108 nt
Organism: Nicotiana tabacum (common tobacco)
Lineage: Eukaryota; Viridiplantae; Streptophyta; Magnoliopsida; Solanales; Solanaceae
Source: RefSeq, a predicted model, not a curated record
CAAUUAUUUAUACAAGGCAAAAGGAAUAAAAUCUGUUAAGCUAGGUACAUGUGUCCUUUCACUAUUUGUCUAUGUCUAACUGCCUAAAAGAAUCCUAAGAAAGAAUAUAGAGUAAUUAAUAUGUACACAUAUUUACCUAUACACUACAUCCGGUAAAAGAACCUUCUAGAUUUCUAAUACUUUCUUUCAUACUUUUACUCAAAUGGACGGCCCCGAUUUGUUUUUCAUUUGAAGAAAAUAAACGCACAAGAUUGACUUUUAGCUUUGGAUCUCUGAAGACAAAGUGGUCCUGUCUUUGGACAUAUCGACAUUUGAGUGUACCCAUCUUCUUCACCAAAAUUCUCUAUGCACUGAGCUUGUGGAAUUCCAACGCCAAUACCCCUCUUCAAGUUGGAUGGGGACAAAGUUAAGCCCAACUUGCCGAUGAUAGAGCGGUGAAUUGGACCGGACAAGGGUUUUGUGAAAAUAUCGGCAACCUGUUAAUGGGAAGGGACAAAAAAUAAAGAAAUGAUUCCCGCCUGAAAUUGUUGGCGAACAAAAUGGCAAUCAAGUUCCACGUGCUUCGUACAUUUGUGGAAUACUGGAUUUUUGGCAAUAUGAAUCGCAACUUCGCUAUCGGAAUGAAGCUGAACCGACAGAAAGGGUAAAAUAGAGAGAUCUUCGAACAAUCGAACUAACCAGGUAGCUUUUGCGACCACUCGUCUCAUGGAUCUGUACUCUGCUUCAGUAGAGGACAAAGAAACUAAAGGUUGUUUCUUUGAUUUCUAGGAGACCCGCGAACCCCCAAGGAUAAUGUAGAAUCCACUAAUAGAUCGAUGAGUAUCAGGACAUUGUCCCCAGUCGGAGUCACAGAAAGCAAGAAGGCGAAGUGAUGGAUUAGGGUUGAGCAAAAGACCCAUUGCAGGAUUUGAGAGAAGAUAACGCAGAUAGUGAAAAGCUGCGCUUCAAGUGAGGUUGGCGUGGAGACUACAUAAAUUGGCUCAGAUAUUUCACGGCGAUGGACAGAUCAGGCCGCGUGUCAGUGAGGAAGUUCAACUUUUUUAGAAGUCAUUGAUAGAAGGUUGGGUCUAGAAUCAAAUCGCCAGUGUGAAGGCUGAGUCUUUGAGUGGGAUCAAUGGGCGAUGCAGUGGCCUUGAGGUCAAGAACCCCAAAUUCAGUCAAUAGUUCUGAGAAAGCAAAGUCAAGAGGAUGCUGUACAACCUGGAUUUCUUUCUGUUUCUCUUCCUAGAUCAAGAGUGAGUAAGCAUGAUUGAUGCUGGGAAGAGGUGUGGUCAUGAGGAUAUUGCACUUCACUCCUGAAUAAGCAUCGUUUAGCCCCAUCAGGAACUGAAUAAGCCUCCCAUCAUGCUAAAAUCUUAGAGCUCUGCUCUUUCCUCCACAUGAGCAUUCACAACUACAGUGAGUACAUGUAUCAAAGCUGUCUAACUCAUCCCAGAUUUUCUUAAACUUUGUGUAAUAACCAGCAGUAUUAGAACUUCCCUGAACUAAAUCGCUAAGUUCUUUUUGCAGCUGAUAAAGCAAAUCUCCAUUGCUUUGACCAAAUCUAUCUUCCAACUCUUUUCAAAUUUCCCUAGCAGUUUUAGAGUAAAGGACAUUCUCAGCAAUCUGCUUCGAAAGGGAGUUGAGCAGCCAUGAUAUUACCAUAUAAUUGCAUCGAUUCCAUGCCUUGAAAGAGGGUGAAUCUGCAGGUGGCUCUGUGAUCAUUGCAUCUAUGAACCCAACAUUGCUUUUAGCCGAGAGAGCUAUGACUACUACCCUACGCCAUCCUCCAUAGCCCUUUCCAUCAAAAAUGGAAUUGACAAGAAUCAUCCCAGGUGAAUCUGAAGGACGAAGGUAAAAGAGAGCUAUCAUUUGAGAUAGUGAUUUGAGGGGAUUAGACUGUUGAAGGACUUCCAGUAGGCAGUGUAGCAGAGGAAUCAUCAGUGACUUCCAUUGAAGAAGACUAAGAAGAAGACUUGAGCAACAGGAUAGGAUCUAGAACUUUUGCUCUAAUACCAUAAAAGAAACAAAAGAGAUUGUAAUGCAGAAUUUUGUUGUGUAUUUCAUUCAUACUGUCUACAAUUAUUUAUACAAGGCAAAAGGAAUAAAAUCUAUUAUGCUUGGUACAA